AGCCUAAAGGACACAGAGGUGCUGAGGAGCAGCUCAUACCACAGGGGAUGCCAGGACAGGUUGGUCCCCCAGGCCCAGUUGGACCAACUGGUCUCCCAGGACCACCAGGGCCAAAAGGAGAGAAGGGUCAACCUGGUGAGAGGGGCCCAGCAGGACCACCAGGGCUGUUGGGACCUCCAGGACCAAGAGGACUUCCAGGAGAAACCGGCAUCCCAGGUCCCCCAGGUCCUCCAGGGCCACCAGCCACCCCAAGCCUUCCUCUCACCUUCCAGCAAGGGGUUCUCUACUCCCUCCAGCCCACAUCUGAAAAAGAAA
Molecule: long non-coding RNA, 315 nt
Organism: Merops nubicus (carmine bee-eater)
Lineage: Eukaryota; Metazoa; Chordata; Aves; Coraciiformes; Meropidae
Exons: 3
Source: RefSeq, a predicted model, not a curated record